UCGAGGAUAAUUGCUCACAAACCGAGUCUGUUACUCCUCCCCCUAAUUUUAAGAGACUACGGAGAGGGGCUAAGAGGAAUUCUAAGCAGUGACGUGAAUCUAAAUAUACAUGACUUGUUGGAACUGUUCCUGAGGUGCUGCAGAACCUGAAUCCGGAGCCUUCAGUUCAAGCAAACAAAAAGCAUCAAGGAAAUAUGAUGGAUCCCUUUUUUGUAUAUAGCUUUUGAAGUAGUGAAAUGUGUAUACAACAAGUCCGCCAGGCUGGUCCAAGUAGGAUCGAUUCCUCAGAACCAAAACCAACAACUGUGAUGCACCCUUUGCUCUUCACUCUUCACUAGCUGGAGGAAAGUUCUUCGCUGCACUGUCUGUGUUCUAUCCUGUGUGGGCUUAAAGAUCAUGUUUCGUUUCA
This is a long non-coding RNA of Lolium rigidum, 409 nucleotides long. RefSeq lists it as uncharacterized. The transcript has 2 exons. NCBI's taxonomy places the organism in Eukaryota, Viridiplantae, Streptophyta, Magnoliopsida, Poales, Poaceae. The record is from RefSeq and is a predicted model, not a curated record.